GUGCUUGCUUCAGCACACAUAUACUAAAAUUGGAACGAUACAAAGAAGAUUAGCAUGGCCCCUGUGCAAGGAAGACAUGCAAAUUUGUGAAGCGUUCCAUAUUUUG
This 106-nucleotide small nuclear RNA is filed under the name Canis lupus familiaris (dog). The record is from RNAcentral. Lineage: Eukaryota; Metazoa; Chordata; Mammalia; Carnivora; Canidae. RNAcentral also lists the same sequence under 1 other name.